This 479-nucleotide long non-coding RNA is filed under the name Salvia miltiorrhiza (redroot sage). RNAcentral describes it as "long non-coding RNA (SMIL_LNC003024)". Lineage: Eukaryota; Viridiplantae; Streptophyta; Magnoliopsida; Lamiales; Lamiaceae. The record is from RNAcentral.
AUAAUUUAGGAUAGGAAUUGGUAAAUUCAGUCUCUGUGGAAUACGACCUUGCUUGCUACUGUACACAAUUGCACCCGUACACUUGCGGCGUGUUAAAUAAAUUAGCGAACAAGUUUUUGGCGCCGUUGCCGGGGACUGAUUUUUAUCAGUACUAUCUGUUAAUUGUUUGAUACUACUCUGGAUUUUUAUUUCUGUUUAUUUUUUUUUCUGUUCUUUAUUUUUCCUGCGGUUCUGAUUCUUGCGUUGGAGUUUUCUAGGUAGUGAAUGAACACACGAUCUCAGAAUCUUCCUCUUGAAGAUUUUGAUCCUGAGAUUGAAGCUACGUGCCGCCAUAACAACAGCCAGACGACCAAAGCCAAGUUGGAUCACAUGGCUACUGCGGAAGAAGUCCGUGCUUUGAGAGAACAGCUGCAACGCCUGUUAGAUGCUCAGAAAAAUGCUGAAGAGCAGAAGCAGGCGCCUAUUGAUGAGGCAUUUAC